This 1488-nucleotide long non-coding RNA is filed under the name Sus scrofa (pig). RNAcentral's name for it is "lncRNA (ENSSSCG00045033948.1)". The record is from RNAcentral. Lineage: Eukaryota; Metazoa; Chordata; Mammalia; Artiodactyla; Suidae.
AACUUUGCUUUUCAAACUAAAGUACCCCAGGUUUUCUCCUUUCAUUUCAUAGAUAUUCGUUUUCAAAUCUUCUAAUGCCUAACACAUAGCACCACUUUGACAUUUAAUAAAUGACAACUUGGCUUUUAAAGUAGAAAAGUAGAAUCAAAGUUAGAUAGCUAACAGACACUGGCAGAGGUGUACACUAGGAUAAUAGCUAUGAAAAUGUGGGUCAGUUAUUUUACAGAAUAUCCUCUGAAACAUUUUGUAGUCUGUAUGCUCAAUUUGUAGUAUAACUUUCAAGUGAUAUCUAUUUAGGAAAAUCAAUAAUUUUAGAUUUUACUGUAGGCAGAUAAAGAAAAAUGAAUAAACUUGAAAUUUAAAAUUUGGCAGUAGGCUAUAAAAAUUUAAGUGCAGAAUAUCAUAAUUAAAAUUAACCUCGUCUGGCCUGUGACAAGUAGAAAAUGGAAGCACUUUAUUCUUAUAUGAGUCAUAUUUAAAGCAAAAUAAGUGUUCUACAAUAUUUUCAUUUCUAAUACUAAAAUUGCUGUUAUUUUAAUAAUAAUAAUAGAUAGCAAAACUGUAUUGAGACCUUAUUUUGUGGUAAACACAUUGAGUAUCAAUUAUUUAAACAUCACAAAAGCCUUACUAGGUGGAUAUAUUUUUAUCCCCAUUUUCCAAGAAGGAAACUGAGACAUAGACAUCAAAUUAUUUGCUUAUGGUUUCAGAGCCAGCAAACUCUAAGUUAAUAUUUGAACUCAAAAUAGCAUCAGAGCUGAAGUUCUUACCUACUGUAAUGUAUCUAGUGUUUUUGAUCACUUAUAGGGGUUUUUUUGGCCAUGCCUGCAGCAUAUAGAAUUUCUCAGGCCAGGAAUUGAACCUGUGCCAUAGCAGAGACUCAAGCUGCUGCAGUUAACAAUGCCUGAUCCUUAAACUGCUGUGCCACAAGAAAACUCCUAUGAAGAUUUUUUAUUUUUUAAAUUUUUUACAGUAUAUUUGACUUACAGUGUUGUAUCAAUUUCUGCUGUACAGCAGAAUGAUCCAAUCAUACAGAUAUAUAUACCUCCAUUUUCUUCUUCUUCUUUUUUUUUUAUUUGCAGGGCUGCAGGUAAGCCAUAUGGAAGCUCCCAGACUAGGGAUCAAACUGCAGCUGCCGGCCUAUGCCACAGCCACAGCAAUAGCAGAUCUGAGCGCAUCUGCAACCUGCACCUAUGCUGUAGCUCAGGGCAACGCCGGAUGCUUAACCCAAUGAGUGGGACCAGGUAUUGAGCAUACAUCCUCAUGAAUACCAGUCGUGUUUGUUCCCACUGAGCCACAAUGGCAACUCCACCUUUGUUUUCUUUUCUUUUUUUUUCUUUUCUUUUCUUUUUCUUUUUCUUUUCUUUUUUUUUUUUUUUGGCUUUUUGCCAUUUCUUGUGCCACUCUCGCAGCAUAUGGAGGUUCCCAGGCUAGGGGUCGAAUCAGAGCUAUAUCCACCGGCCUAUGCCAGAGCCACAGCAAUGCAGGAUC